Bufo gargarizans (Asiatic toad) is the source of this 346-nucleotide long non-coding RNA. RefSeq lists it as uncharacterized. NCBI's taxonomy places the organism in Eukaryota, Metazoa, Chordata, Amphibia, Anura, Bufonidae. The record is from RefSeq and is a predicted model, not a curated record. The transcript has 3 exons.
UUGGAAAUGCUCAUGAGGAUCAAAUUCUUCCUGAAUUCUGGACAAAGGAUUGACCUAGACAAAGUCUAUUCCAAAUGGGUCACAUCAAAAGAUAGACGUUGCAAAGUUUGAACAGUUGAAGUUUGUUGCUUCACAUGUAUUGGUUUACUUAUCCAAGGUUAAAAGGAAGAAGACGUUGCUAGGAUUGGCAUAGUUCCACAUUUCAUGCUUUAUCUUGGUUGUUUGGUGUUGCCUACACUUUCCAAAGGAAAUUGACAGAUGACUGAAGUUUAAUGACCUGAAAGAAAUAAUACAAGAUGGGUGCUUCAUGUGGAAAGGUUUACUUAUCCAAGGUUAAAAGGAAGAA